UUAGACAAAGAGCCCCAACAUGUCGUUUUCUUUUUCUUCUAGUAGAAGCACAAUAGAAAGAGUGGCAACUUAUCCAUUUGAAAUAACAACCAGCCAUGACAUCACCCACCCUCUUGAUGCCAUUUUUGAGAAGAAUACAAAUAAAUAUUUUCCUUAGCAGUAGGCCCUUUGAAGAAAAUCUACAAAUCAUCAAGAAAACUUCUUUUGAAGAAUUGUUUUCCUGCUUUCAACCGUCAUCUGAACUGACCAAAUCACAGGUUGGAUAAGAAGAUUGAAACAUAAAAACACAGUUUCUUCACAAAGAGACAAACAAUAUUGUUGAAUUCCUUAACGCCACUUGCCAACUCAUUGUCAUACACAUCAUUGUUUUGUAAGAACUAUGAAACAAGAACUGGCAUAGAGAAUUUUAAAACUUUCAAACUCCAAUCCAUCCUUAUUCCUAUCAUGAAAGAAAAAGGAAAAAAAAGAUCGAAUCGAUUAUCAUCAUCGUCAUCAAUAAUCCCACGUGGCUGGUUCAUGCACAUGGGGCUUGUCAAUUAUAGUCAUGACCCUCAAAAAUAGAAUGAAAAGUACUUGAAAAAUUUUCAUUGACAUUGGAGAGCCCACUUGAAAGUGCGAAAUUAGUAAACUACAAUUGCAAAAUUUAGUACAUCAGCAUCAGCUCAUCUGAUCUGAAAGUUGUAAAACAAACACCAAUUCCUGAGUCAAAUGAUCUCUAAGAUAUUUGAUGAUGAUGAUGAUGAUGAUUAGAUCGAAGGGAAACAAUAUUUGGUUGUAUGGUGCUUACAUCACAGGGAAGUUUGAUCCAUCUUUUUGGCUUUGGGUGAGAAUCUGACAGGCAACAUGGACCUCCUGUCAACUGGCCAAAAACUGCUAUGAUCACUGGGAAAAAUUUUCUUUGCAAAGUAGAUAUGAAUGGUCCCAUAUGCAGGCUGUUGCAAAGCCAUCACAGCUUUCAUAUGGUAUGUGGGUUGGCCAGCGUUUUCCCUUUCACAAUUUGAAGGCUUUCAGUUUUCUGGACCCAUUUGGGAAUUGGGAGCCAUCAAAAUAAAGAAAAAAAAGUUUUAAUUUUACAAAUUUCAUUAUUUGCGAGAAAUUAAGUUUGCGUGAUAGGAGUACUAAUCCAAGUUAACAGCAUUUACAGCUAUACGUACGGGAAAAUUUUAAAAUAUAUAUAUUUUUUGAAUUGAUAGUUUAAAUUCUUUUUCAUAGAAAAGAAAUGAGUGAACGAUCAUUUCUAUUAAAAGAAAAAGAGUAGUAUAAAAUAUUGAAGAUUUAAUUAUAAAGUGAGUAGUUACUAAAAUUAAUUAUAAAGAAAUUUUAUUAUUUUUUAGAUCAAUUAAU
RNAcentral lists this long non-coding RNA (1344 nucleotides) under Durio zibethinus. RNAcentral describes it as "long non-coding RNA (DZIB_LNC000469)". Lineage: Eukaryota; Viridiplantae; Streptophyta; Magnoliopsida; Malvales; Malvaceae. The record is from RNAcentral.